UGCAAGCCCAGAGACAGUCUAUACCCCGACUCAACUGACUGGUCCUUAGUGCUGCCUGCUUCCGUGCCCAACUUAGAACUACACAUCUGCUGCCUCCUAGUAACAUGUCAUUAUAAGGCUUCUUCAUCAGCCCUAACCCUGGCAACCACUCCUGCCCCACUGAAUGUGCCAAUGGAUUGCUCAGCUCCAACUAAGGAAAAGAAGAAGGAAGUUGGAUACUUUGUACCCUCUAUAUUGUCCAUUAGCAACACAACCUAGAGUCUGAAGAUUGCCAUUUGAAAUGCUCUUUGAGGGACAUGAAGUCAACCCCGGAUCCAAAGUAGCUUUGAUGUUUGUCAGGAAAAUGCUGGAGUUCUAUAUACUACAGUUUUCACAGAGCAUGAAGAACUCCAACCUCAGAUAACCUGCAAAAAAAGUCAGAAA
Molecule: long non-coding RNA, 423 nt
Filed under: Rhinopithecus bieti (black snub-nosed monkey)
Lineage: Eukaryota; Metazoa; Chordata; Mammalia; Primates; Cercopithecidae
Description: lncRNA (ENSRBIG00000045323.1)
Source: RNAcentral